AGUGAACGCUGGCGGUAGGCCUAACACAUGCAAGUCGAACGGCAGCACAGUAAGAGCUUGCUCUUACGGGUGGCGAGUGGCGGACGGGUGAGGAAUAAAUCGGAAUCUACUUUUUCGUGGGGGAUAACGUAGGGAAACUUACGCUAAUACCGCAUACGACCUACGGGUGAAAGCAGGGGAUCUUCGGACCUUGCGCGAUUGAAUGAGCCGAUGUCGGAUUAGCUAGUUGGCGGGGUAAAGGCCAACCAAGGCGACGAUCCGUAGCUGGUCUGAGAGGAUGAUCAGCCACACUGGAACUGAGACACGGUCCAGACUCCUACGGGAGGCAGCAGUGGGGAAUAUUGGACAAUGGGCGCAAGCCUGAUCCAGCCAUACCGCGUGGGUGAAGAAGGCCUUCGGGUUGUAAAGCCCUUUUGUUGGGAAAGAAAAGCAGCAGGUUAAUACCCCGCUGUUCUGACGGUACCCAAAGAAUAAGCACCGGCUAACUUCGUG
RNAcentral lists this ribosomal RNA (492 nucleotides) under uncultured bacterium. RNAcentral describes it as "partial 16S ribosomal RNA". It matches the Rfam family "Bacterial small subunit ribosomal RNA", at positions 29 to 507 of the family's 1533-position model. The record is from RNAcentral.